GAUAGGUUGGAAAAUGAGUUAAUCCCCUUACCAUACAGUUUGAAGAUGUAUAUAAGGUUGAUUUCCAUAAUUCACAUCUCCUCCUUUUAUUGGUGAGCAUAGGAGAGUAAAAAGAGCGAGAAACGGGCCGAAAAUAGAGAAAAUAGACCCACAUGAAAAAUCAACAUGGCCUGGGCUUCCUCACACGGGCGUGUCCCACAGCCGUGUCCCUUUGGCAGGAUCGAAGCAUGACUUACACGGGUAGACUACAUGCCCGUCCCUAUUCAACAGCCUUGACCACAGGCUGGAGUAAUCGCACACGGGUGUGUCACACGGGCUUGUCCUUGCCAAGCCCAAGUAUAACCCAAUUCAGAAAAGGCCAAUUUUGAGGGCUCUUAGGCAUUCUAAAGCCUAUUUAAACACCUAAGGAG
This is a long non-coding RNA of Gossypium arboreum, 410 nucleotides long. RefSeq lists it as uncharacterized. NCBI's taxonomy places the organism in Eukaryota, Viridiplantae, Streptophyta, Magnoliopsida, Malvales, Malvaceae. The transcript is spliced from 2 exons. The record is from RefSeq and is a predicted model, not a curated record.